Molecule: long non-coding RNA, 7987 nt
Organism: Monodelphis domestica (gray short-tailed opossum)
Lineage: Eukaryota; Metazoa; Chordata; Mammalia; Didelphimorphia; Didelphidae
Source: RefSeq, a predicted model, not a curated record
UUCAGCUGGUGGAAACAAGCUAUUUUCUUCAUUAAAGUUAAUCUGGAGUUGUUUUUAUUUGUCCUUUAUUUCUUUGUUUUUCCAAACCCUUACUUUCCAUCUUAAAAUCAAUACUGCGUAUGUUUUAAGACAGAAGAGUGUAAUGACAAAGCAAUGGGAGUUAAGUGACUUGCCCACAGAAACGCAGCUAGGAAGUGUCAGAAGUCAGAUUUGAACCUCUGGGCCUACUCUACCCACUGCGCCACCUCACUGCCCCCAUUCUUCAUUUUCAAAGAAGACCAAUGGCAUCAUGCAGUGAUUUGACUUGAGCAUGAAUUAGAUUUUAGUGGGGCAGAGUUGUGCAAACUCAUCAGUCUUCCUCUCUCUUCCUUGAAGUUCAGUGGCAAGACUGGAUGAACGGUGAUGGCCCAGAAAGGUGGAUGAACUCGACAUCUUCAAUGUCUGACCAAACCCUAAGUGCUCCACAGUUCCUGCUUCAGCCACCUUCAUGGUCAUCGUAAUAAAUUAUUCCCAUCUGCCCAUUCUGCUGAAAGAAGUCUCCCCAUCAUCCCUUGAACUCUCGUGUGUCAGCUACCCUCAACAUAGUUCAGCUCAUAUGCCAAGAUCACUUUACCCAGGUGCAGCCACCGCCCAAGAUACAGAGACAGGAACCACAGCUACAGAAAUUCAUGAAAACCAACUAUCAAAGACUAAGAUUUUUGCUGGUAAAGGAAUCACUAAUCCUGGAGGCAUCGUAGACUCUGGAGGGAUUGAAGAACUUAGAACGCUGAUGGGAUCAUAUCUGUAAUUCCACCACAGCAUUACCCCUCCAAGAAAAUCAGGAUGCAAAUCUAUUUUGUAACUGGGAGAAAACAAAGGUACGAGCUUUUCAUUGUACACAGUCUCCUGAAACACUUAAACAAAACAAAUGUCCAAUCCAUUUUGCUCAUUAUUAAUCAAGGGACAACAGUUUUCUAGGAGAGAGUAAUAGAAAAUAGUAACAAGCCUCGAUGGUGGCCAUUUGUCAUUCUCUCCCCCACAGCUUGUGGGGUAUCAAUGAGAGUAGAAUUGGCACCCCACAAUAGCCACUUCUGAUGUUCACAUCUCCUCUGGAGUUUCCUCAGAAUCCAACUCUAAUGACAGGAGAUGCCAGGUCAGACUAAUCCCAAGGGUCUAAACCAUUGGGUCAAGUGGUUUCUGGGUAACAGGCUUUUUUCAGUUGACUAUUCCUGGACACUGUGCCUAGUAGAGUAACAUCAUCAGAAUUGCCUGAUCUGCUCUAAGGAGGCCCCCCCAAAUGGAUGGGAACUCGAGUCUAAUUCCUUUUGGACUCAUUGAAGUUCGUCUACUUAUAUGCAGAGAGCACACAAGUUUCAUUUUCCCUAAUGUGACCAGGGAGUGGACAGCUACCAUGCCCCUGCCCGAAGCAGAAACAAAAUCAGACCUAUAUGCUCUUGAAAUAGAGCUCAAUGGGGAAAACUAGGUGAUUCAGUGGAUAGAGUGCCACAGCUGGACUGGGGAGAUCCUGGGUUCAAAUCUGGCCUCAGACAUUUCUUAGCUAUGUGACCCUGGGCAAAUCACUUAACCCUGUUUGCCUAGCCUUUGCCCUUCUAUCUUAGAGUUAAUACUAGGACAGAAAGCCACAUUUUAAAUAAUUAAUUUUUAAAAAAAGAAAUAGAUUCUGACCUAAUUUCAAUUCAGCUUUGAUUGAAUUUAUGUUUGAUAUGAAGGCAAAAAUGAUGCUAGAAAUGGGAUAUAGAAAAGUGGACAAGAUAUCACUCCAAUCCCUACAAAGCUUUUAAUCUAGUUGCUAGAGAGGGGAUGAAAGUCAUCCACAAAUUACUACAAUACCCUGAGAAUACCCCAGACCUGAUUUAAAGCUUCCCCUCCCUGGCAUUCAGUCAGCCUCUGGAGAUGAUGAGCCCAUCCAUCUCUAGCCAAAGCUUUGGUUUUGAGAGCUGAAAGGAUGUCUUAUCUCCAACCACUUCUUAAACUCUUUAUGAGUGUAACAGCUGGCCUUAGGCAUGGGAAAAUGGUGCUUCAACACCCUAGCACUAUGCCUUGGCAGGCAUAGAGUAAGACAGCAUCACAUCCCCAGUCCCACACACCAAGUCUUAAAAAUAUAAUCCAAGGGCCAUGCGAUCAAAAACGUUGCGCAAUGUUUUCCAUUUGUGAGAACUGUAAAUCUCCCAUUUGCUUCCAUUUUUUUUUUGGUGGGGGGAUAGAAUCCCUCCAAUAACUUGUAAUUGAAAAUUAACUUCUAGGAAUGAUAACAUGACUACACUGAGGACAUCGGUGAACACCAUCUACUUUUUAUUUGACUCAUUUGUUGAUUUUAUUUCCAUGUUAGGCAGCAAAGCUGUGGUAGAAGGAAUACUUGACUUAGGAACAAGAGAGAUCUAGGUUUGCAUCUUGCUUCCUAAUAGUUGCUAAUUUUGUAAACAUAGGCAAGCCGUAUAAGCCUCAGUUUCCUCAUCUGGAAAAUGGGGAUAAUGAUAGUACUUACCUUAGGAGAACAGAUGAGGCGAUGUUUACAAUGUACUAUAAAAGUCUGCAAUUAUCACUAUAUUUUUCACUUAAAAUGUGGCCAUUUCCCAAGAGCUCUUGAAAACAGACACACAUUCUACCUCUCAGCUGUCUGCAGCAUGAAACACAUUUUUGGCUCUUGGUAUCUGGUGACUGAUGACAACUUGUAAUUUCAACUAGAUCCAAAAACUGAAGUUCUAUGUAAAGAAAAACGGAUGAAGAUUCCCCAGGAGGGAGAAAAGGUCAUUCUUACACAAUAGCCUGAAGGGCAAAAAUCUGGAGGGCCUCAAGCCUGAAGGGAAAAGAAACUACUGAGAUGGAAAAUACCUUCAAUCCAGAUCCCUGAGACUCAAAGCAGCUGCCUGCUCACAACUGAAAGUGGGACAAUUAGGUUUGGGGUCCCAGUGACAGAUUAGAUCCAGAAAAAAAGGAAUAUAUUAUGGAGAUUCUUGGCUAACUCGGGUAAAAGAUUGUGCGCCCAAGUUAGAGGGUCUCUAAGGACCCUUCCAGUUUAAAUCUGGUGUUGCAAAAUGCCCCUAGAUCUCUCUCUCUCUCUCUCUCACACACACUCUCACACACACACACACACACACACACACACACACAAAGCAAAGGGAGGGGAGGAAGGGCACAGGGAGUGAGCUCUCCACGUUAUAACACUCAAUUACUUGAGAUGCCUUGAAUCCUGAUGGGGAGGGAGGAGUGCCUUAAGGGCCUAGCCCCAGCAUCUCCUGUCUUCCAUUGAGGUGGCAGGAGUAGAUUAGUGGAGUUUGGCUAUCAUCCCCCCCAAACAGGCUGCUCUUCACUUAUAGGAGACACAGGUCAUGACCUCCCAAUGGUUCAGUCUCCAUUGUACAGCAUCCAUUUCUAAAAUUACCCUAUUCCCCCCACACACAACAUUUGCCUUCAGGGUCUGAGCUUCAGAGCACAGCUGUGCUUCUGGGAAUGGAAACAAAGAGGUUUUGACACUUCUUAAAGAAGCACAGAAAAAAAUGUGAGAAGAAGGAGAAGGAAGAGGAGGAAGCUGAAAUGAUGCUGUUUGUUGCAGGGGUUGCUUAUUUUCACUCUUUGGGAAGGGUGAUUUUUGGAUUUCUAUGUUUGGUUAAUAUCACCAGAGGCAAGUGAUGAAGAAUUCACGAGUAUAUCAAGUGACUGAGGAUAAUGUAAGAACCAUGACGACAUCUUUUUUUUAGGGGGGAGGGAGGUAAAAAGGAAAUUUAUUCUCUUUUAUCACAUCUUCUAAAUGCAUAACUAGGCUCAACAACUUAAACUGCCCCCAAGAUGGCAGACCAAGAACCAACUGCAAUGAUGUUUUUGAUGGAGUUUUCAUGGUCAACCUUCCAUGCAAGCCUGUUGUUUCUAUGAUACUUUUUAGGUGACACUCAGAAGAAGUGGAACCAAAAAUUAUAAAGAUUUUUUAUUAUAAAAUCAUAAAAAAUUAUAAAGAUUAAUUGGCAGGCAGAGUAUAGCUAGUUGCUUUAGUUGAUGGAGAUCCAGGGCUGGAGAUGAGAGAUCCUGGAUUCCAAUCUGGCCUCAGACACUUCCUAGCUGGGCAAGACAUUUAAUUCCAAUUGCCUAGCCCUUGCCACAUCUUCUGCCUUGGAACCAAUACUUAGUAUUGAUGACUUUGGCCAGUCCAUAAUGCCCAGAAUGUAUUCCUUCCUUAUUUCUACCUCUUAGAAUCCUUAGAUUCCUUCAAGUUUCAACUCAGGUACCACCAAUAAAAUGUUUUUUAAAGUGCUUUGGUUACUGGUGAGCUCCCCAUCUCUCUCUCUCUCUCUCUCCCUGUCUUCAUCUCUUUUUCUCUCUUUGAUGAAACCCCAAACAUAUGUUGCCUAGAGAAAGAAAGUCAUAAAGAAUUCUUCUUCUUCUUCUCCUUCCUCCCCUUUUUUCUUUUUCUUUCUUCUUUUUUCUUCUUCAUCUUCUUUUUCUUAUUAUAUUUCUUCCAGAUUUCAUAUAAAUACAAUUUUAAUCAUUGUUUUCUGACUUUUUUGCAAUCCAUAAUCUCUCCCUUCUUUCCAACCUUCACCUCUCCCCAAGAUGGCAAGCAAUAUGAUAUAGGUUAUACAUAUACUAUCAUGCAGUACAUAUUUCCAUCUUUAGCAUACUGUAAAAGAAGACACAUACCACUUAUACUAGAAAAAACUCAUGAAGGAAAUGAAAUGAAAAUAGUUUGCUUCAAUCUGCAUUUAGACUCCUUGUUAUUAGUUCCUUUUAGGGCAGUAGAUAGCUCUUUUCAUUAUGAAUCCUUGGAGUUGUCCUGGAUCCUUGUACGGCCGAUAAUAGUUGAUCACAGUACAUUAUUGCUAUUACUGUGUACAAAAUCCUCCUGGUUCUACUCACUUCAUUUUGUAUCAGUUCACCUAAGUCUUUCCAGGUUUUGUUUUGAUUUUUGUAAUCAUGCUGUUCAUCAUUCCUUAUAGCACAAUAGUAUUCCAUUACACUCAAAUAUCACAACUUGUUCAUCCAUUCUCCAAAUGUUGGGCAUCUCUUCCGUUUCUAAUUCUUUGCUACCACAAAAAAAAUAGCUGCCAUAAAUUUUUGUACAAUUAUGUUCUUUUCCCCUAUCAUUCUUUUUUAUUUUAAAUAUACAGUCCUAGAGACUUCCGGGUAAGCAUGGCUGCAGAGUAGAUAUGGCUCGCUUCCUCUCCUCAGAACCAUGACACAGUCGACCUCAAAAGACCCCCCAAAAACAAACAAAAAACAACCAUCCUCAUGAGAAAGGAGAGACCCCACACUAAAGUGCAGGACUGAAGGUAGAUGGGAUUCUGGCAUUUCCAUAAUAUAAGGAAACAAAAACUGACCCACCCUCCCCCACCCACCACACCGACAGAAGCCAGAGUUUAAGUCGGCACUGGCCAGAAUCAACAAGUGAGGGAAGGGCACCCCAGGACUGAACAACAGGCAGCCCCAGGUCUGGGGACCUGAAUAAGACCACCAAAGACCUACUCCUGAGAGUAGUAACACCCGAAACCCCAACAGGUGGGCAAAGGGAACUCAGAUCCCGGGCACCCAGAACUAGCGCGCUAUAAUCAACGAGUGCGCAAAGGGAUCCCCUGAAGUGAGCAAGGGACACCCACAGGUCUUGGGAGUUAACUAAAACCACCAAAGAACUACACCUGAGAGCAAUAACACCUGAAAUGCUGGCAGGCAGGGGAGGGCAGACCCUGGGCUUCCCCCCCACCCAAGACAGCGCAGCUGCAGAGAACCAAGAAUAAGCCCGAGGCUAAAGCCUUGAUCAUUUGACCCUUACACUGAGAGCAAGCCCUCCUCACUGUGGAAAGGAAACUAGACUAACAGUUUGGGUGGGGGAGGGCCAACUGGGAGGGGCAGUUGGGUCUUGUGACUAGAACUUCCUUCCUGCCGUGUGGGUCUUGCUGCCUGGUGUUGGAGGAGAGAGGAGCUUGUUCAACCCAGUCUGGGGUGGCAUGCUCUUCUUGGUUCAGCCCAAAGACACAGGCUUCUAAAGGUUAGAAUUGUUCUUGUUUGCUUUCUGUGUACUGCUAAGAUUCUGAAUUAGAACAACGAGAGUAGACGGGAGUGGGACAAACUCUCCGCCAACCUCUGGGGCCUGGCCUUAGGUCUGAAACUGAGAAAAGCUCCACUCCCAACUAGUUAUUAAACUUUAUGUUAUUUGAAUUCGCAGUCAGAUAAGUGGACUCUCUUUUCCGGUCAUAGAGGGAGCUGAACUUCAGUUUAAGUCAUUCAAAGACAAACCGUCCUUAUUGGACCCCUGCUGUUUCCUCUCAGCAGGGGGCAUCUCCCUCCCUUGCCUCACUAAGCAAUAUUCCCUCUCUCCCUUUAACUCCUCCUUACCCCUAUACAAACCUCCCAUUAUUCCCCAUUUAUCCCAUUUUUCCCAAUCCUAUUUCCUUUCCCAAUAAAUAUUACAUCACUCAGAUUUCUGACUGGAAAGGGAAGAAAAAAAACAUAGAGAUGGUAAACAGUGCACAGUAGCAACAGCCUCCCAACACCAAGAAAAGCAAGAAGAAGGGGGUGACUUUGGAUAUGUUUUAUGGAGGAAAAAAACAGAAUACAGAGGAAAUAGAAGAGGAAACACAAACAAAUGCUCCAAAACCUUCCAAAAGAAAUGGAAAUUGUCCACAAGCUCUUGAAUAAUUUAAAUUGGAAGUUAUCAAAAAGAUAGAAGCCUUCUGGCAGGAAAAAUGGGAAAUAAUGCAAAAGGAACUUGGCAAUCUGAAAGACGAAAACAAGCAACUGCAGAAACAGCUUGAAGCCUCAAAAAGCAGAACAGACCAAACUGAAAAGGAAAAUAAGUCUUUAAAGGUCAGAAUCAGGCAACUGGAAGACAAUGAUCUUGCAAAAGAGCAAGAAUUAAUAAAGCAAAGUCAAAAGACUAAGGAUUUAGAGGAUAACAUUAAAUAUCUCACUGACAAGGUGACAGAUCUGGAAAAUAGAGGAAGGAGGAUCAUUGGUCUACCAGAAAAGCCAGAAAUAAACAGUAAUCUUGAUAUCAUAAUACAAGAUAUCAUCCAAGAAAACUGCCCAAAGAUUCUAGAAUAAGGGGGAAAUAUAGGCAUUGAAAGAGUUCACAGAACACCCUCUACACUAAAUCCCCAAAAGACAACUCCCAGGAAUGUAAUUGCCAAAUUCCAAAGCUUUCAAGCAAAAGAAAAAAUCUUACAAGAAGCCAGAAAAAGACAAUUUAGAUAUAAAGGAAUGCCAAUCAGGGUCCCACAAGACCUUGCAAUUUCCACACUGAACAACCAUAAGGCAUGGAACAUGAUAUUCAGAAAGGCAAGAGAGCUGGGUCUUCAACCAAGAAUCAGCUAUCCAUCAAAACUAACUAUAUACUUCCAGGGGAAAGCAUGGGCAUUCAACAAAAUACAAGAUUUCCAAGUAUUUGUAAAGAAAAGACCAGAGCUCUGUGCAAAGUUUGACAUCCAAACACAAAGAGCAAGAGAAAUGAGAAACAUGAAAAGGUAAAUAUGAAGGAAAGGGAAAAGGAGAAAAAUGUUAUCUUUUUCUUUUAUCCAAAUUCUCUUCUAUAAGGACUACAUUUAUAUCAAAUUAUAUAUAUUAAUAUGUGAGGAAAAAUGUAAUGUGUAACUCUCAAAAAUUGUAUGCAUCGUUAGAGUAGUUAGAAGAAUCACGCAUAGGAAAAGAUUGGGGUAUCAAGACGAUAUGGAGAAAGGGGGGUGAAAGAAAAAGGGAGGGGGUAUCGUUAAUGGUACUAAGAUAUACCUCAAGAAAUAGAAAAAAAACUAAAUAAAAUAAUCUUUGUCACACAAAGAUACACAUGGGAAGGGAAGGGGAAGAAGUCUCCUAUAAGAAGGAGAGGAAGAGAGUGCGAAUAGGUAUUACUUAAACCUUACUCUCAGUGAAAUCAACUCUGAGAGGGAAGAACAUUUAGAUCCAUUGGGAUCUUGAAUUCUAUCUUAUCCAACAGGGUAAGAGAGAAGGGGAAAUUAAGGCAGGGGAAGGGUGAGGGAAUAUAAAAAGGGAGGGAAGGAGAGGGGGG